This 500-nucleotide ribosomal RNA is filed under the name uncultured bacterium. Its description in RNAcentral is "partial 16S ribosomal RNA". It matches the Rfam family "Bacterial small subunit ribosomal RNA", at positions 30 to 523 of the family's 1533-position model. The record is from RNAcentral.
AUUGAACGCUGGCGGAAUGCUUUACACAUGCAAGUCGAACGGCAGCACGGGGGCAACCCUGGUGGCGAGUGGCGGACGGGUGAGUAAUACAUCGGAACGUGCCCAGUCGUGGGGGAUAACGUAGCGAAAGUUACGCUAAUACCGCAUACGAUCUACGGAUGAAAGCGGGGGACCGUAAGGCCUCGCGCGAUUGGAGCGGCCGAUGUCAGAUUAGGUAGUUGGUGAGGUAAAGGCUCACCAAGCCGACGAUCUGUAGCUGGUCUGAGAGGACGACCAGCCACACUGGGACUGAGACACGGCCCAGACUCCUACGGGAGGCAGCAGUGGGGAAUUUUGGACAAUGGACGAAAGCCUGAUCCAGCCAUUCCGCGUGCAGGAUGAAGGCCCUCGGGUUGUAAACUGCUUUUGUACAGAACGAAAAGGUUUCUACUAAUACCUGGGGCUCAUGACGGUACCGUAAGAAUAAGCACCGGCUAACUACGUGCCAGCCGCCGCAGUAA